UUAUCAAGAGAGAUUGAGGGAUAUGGCCCGAUGAAAUCUCAGCAGCGGACUCUAUAAAGAGAACUGUGCUAAAUCCAUCAAGUUUUAAACUUGGCAGAUAAA
This 102-nucleotide non-coding RNA is filed under the name Mammaliicoccus lentus. RNAcentral describes it as "SAM riboswitch (S box leader)". It matches the Rfam family "SAM riboswitch aptamer (S box leader)". Rfam says of the family: The SAM riboswitch is found upstream of a number of genes which code for proteins involved in methionine or cysteine biosynthesis in Gram-positive bacteria. The SAM riboswitch acts at the level of transcription termination control. The record is from RNAcentral. Lineage: Bacteria; Bacillati; Bacillota; Bacilli; Caryophanales; Staphylococcaceae.